Molecule: ribosomal RNA, 497 nt
Filed under: uncultured bacterium
Lineage: Bacteria
Description: partial 16S ribosomal RNA
Rfam family: Bacterial small subunit ribosomal RNA
Source: RNAcentral
GAUGAACGCUGGCGGCGUGCCUAAUACAUGCAAGUCGAGCGAACGGACGAGAAGCUUGCUUCUCUGAUGUUAGCGGCGGACGGGUGAGUAACACGUGGAUAACCUACCUAUAAGACUGGGAUAACUUCGGGAAACCGGAGCUAAUACCGGAUGAUAUUUUGAACCGCAUGGUUCAAAAGUGAAAGACGGUCUUGCUGUCACUUAUAGAUGGAUCCGCGCUGCAUUAGCUAGUUGGUAAGGUAACGGCUUACCAAGGCAACGAUGCAUAGCCGACCUGAGAGGGUGAUCGGCCACACUGGAACUGAGACACGGUCCAGACUCCUACGGGAGGCAGCAGUAGGGAAUCUUCCGCAAUGGGCGAAAGCCUGACGGAGCAACGCCGCGUGAGUGAUGAAGGUCUUCGAAUCGUAAAACUCUGUUAUUAGGGAAGAACAUAUGUGUAAGUAACUGUGCACAUCUUGACGGUACCUAAUCAGAAAGCCACGGCUAACUACGUG